GAAUUUCAUCAUAGGAGAAGAGAUGGAUUGCCCUAUACCAGCAUGUGCAAAGUGCACGUUGAAUUGCUUAUUGAUUCAUGGGAAGAAUAAGGACCCAUCGAUUGUUGCUACCUCUUUUUUCAAAAUCAUGAUUGGUGAUAAUUUUUCAAAAGUUCUGUUCUUGCCUCCUAAAUUUGCCCAAACAGUGUCAGACUUGAUUGA
Camellia sinensis is the source of this 201-nucleotide non-coding RNA. The record is from RefSeq and is a predicted model, not a curated record. NCBI's taxonomy places the organism in Eukaryota, Viridiplantae, Streptophyta, Magnoliopsida, Ericales, Theaceae.